Molecule: ribosomal RNA, 863 nt
Filed under: uncultured bacterium
Lineage: Bacteria
Description: bacterial SSU rRNA
Rfam family: Bacterial small subunit ribosomal RNA
Source: RNAcentral
GAUGAACGCUAGCGGAAGGCCUAAUACAUGCAAGUCGAGCGGUAGAGUACUUCGGUACUUGAGAGCGGCGCACGGGUGAGUAACGCGUACAUGACCUGCCCUUAAGCGGGGGAUAGCCCUGGGAAACUGGGAUUAAUACCCUAUGUGAUUAUAAGAGUUAGAGUUUUAUAAUUAAAGCUGAGGCGCUUAAGGAUGGGUGUGCGUCUGAUUAGCUAGUUGGUGAGGUAACGGCUCACCAAGGCGACGAUCAGUAGGGGGCGUGAGAGCGUGAUCCCCCACACGGGUACUGAGACACGGACCCGACUCCUACGGGAGGCAGCAGUAAGGAAUAUUGGACAAUGCCCGCAAGGGUGAUCCAGCCAUUCCGCGUGCAGGAUGACGGCCCUAUGGGUUGUAAACUGCUUUUAGAUGGGAAGAAAGUGUGAUAUUUAUAUUGCUUUGACGGUACCAUCAGAAUAAGCACCGGCUAACUCCGUGCCAGCAGCCGCGGUAAUACGGAGGGUGCGAGCGUUAUCCGGAAUUACUGGGCUUAAAGGGUGCGUAGGCGGGUUUCUAAGUCUAAGGUGAAAGUCUGUAGCUCAACUAUAGAAUUGCCUUGGAUACUGGGGACCUUGAAUUGGGUUGAGGAUGGCGGAAUGUGACAUGUAGCGGUGAAAUGCAUAGAUAUGUCAUAGAACACCAAUUGCGAAGGCAGCCAUCUGGGCCUUGAUUGACGCUGAGGCACGAAAGCGUGGGGAUCGAACAGGAUUAGAUACCCUGGUAGUCCACGCCCUAAACGAUGCUUACUCGAUGUUUGGACUUCGGUUCGAGCAUCCAAGGGAAACCGUUAAGUAAGCCACCUGGGGAGUACGUUCGCAAGAAUG